UACAGAGGUCCCAAGCGUUGUUCGGAUUCAUUGGGCGUAAAGGGUGCGUAGGCGGCGCGGUAAGUCGGGUGUGAAAUCUCGGGGCUUAACUCCGAACUGCAUUCGAUACUGCCGUGCUUGAGGACUGGAGAGGAGACUGGAAUUUACGGUGUAGCGGUGAAAUGCGUAGAUAUCGUAAGGAAGACCAGUGGCGAAGGCGGGUCUCUGGACAGUUCCUGACGCUGAGGCACGAAGGCCAGGGGAGCAAACGGG
Molecule: ribosomal RNA, 252 nt
Filed under: uncultured bacterium
Lineage: Bacteria
Description: partial 16S ribosomal RNA
Rfam family: Bacterial small subunit ribosomal RNA
Source: RNAcentral